Molecule: ribosomal RNA, 48 nt
Filed under: Waitea circinata
Lineage: Eukaryota; Fungi; Basidiomycota; Agaricomycetes; Corticiales; Corticiaceae
Description: partial 28S ribosomal RNA
Source: RNAcentral
AGGUAGGACUACCCGCUGAACUUAGCAUAUCAAUAAGCGGAAAGAAGA